AAUUUAAUUCAUUAAAACAACUCAUUACAGAAAAUUAAUAAAACCACAAUUUUUCAUCGUGGUCCAUUCAACAACAGGCAUCUCAAAGCGACAAACAGGGCAAUUAGAUCUAGCCAUACUCCUAUGCAUGUUUCAUGAAACACGUGUGAGUAAAGCAUGCUAGUAACAUCUUCUGAUCCCACAACAAACUCUUCCAUACAAAUAGUGCAAACCUCACUUUCUUGCACUACACAUCUUAUUUUUCUUUCUCGACCCUCCCCCUCAUCACCAUCGCAUUCUUUUCCAUUAUCAUCAGCCACCACCUUAACCCUCUUCAUCAUCUUCCUGAUAAAAAAACCUCCUUUGUGCACCUCUCGCAUCGCCACAAGAUACGGUCUCUUCUCAUAACAACCCUCAAGCCUAGCAUUCUAUUGGAACCCUUUUUUGAACCUGAGUUGCCAAUUAUGUUGCUCACGGCGUCUAUAAUCUCUUCCACUAUUGCAUCUUGCGAACCCUCUUCUAUUCUAAAUUCAGAAAUAAAGAACAAAUUUGACGUUGCUGUGCAUAGUUUCUACGCAACUCACGUUAAGUUUGCGUGUUGCUUUUUUCACAGGUUCAUAGAACAAAUUUGACGUUGGAUAGACGCUGAUGGAAACAUCAGAGAAAGAGGAGGAGCUUCCAGCCCAAAUAACUCUAAAAGUUUUGUUAACGGACUUUUUAGUAGGCCUCAACAAACAGAACUUCAAUUAGAUGAAUUAAUAGAUCCAGACCAAGACUAUCAAGCUUUUGCCCAGAAUGAUUUAAGAGCGUCCGUAGUAGCCUCAAGACUUAUUAGGCCAUAUAUACAGACUUCUAAGAGUCAGUUUGCAGCAAUCGCCACAACCUCCAGCACUUGAGGAAGACCAGCGCAAACUCAGUGGUAAAUGUUUCUUUGCAUAUCCUUUAAGAAAAAAUCGUAGAGAAUUUAUUAGAAUUGCGGUUUUUCAAUAUAUAAUUUGUAGACAAGUGUUAGAAGGAAAUUUAGAUCUAAGUUGGUAUAUUAUUAGAAAUCUUAGGUAGAAAUACGCUAAGAUAAAGACCUUUUAGGCCCCCAGGGAGCCCUUAUUUCUGGUAUCAGAGCAAUAUAAGAUUCUAGACCUCUAGUAAAGACAACAUAGCUAUGGAAAAAGAGCGCCAUUAUUUAGAAUAUCUUGGUUUAGAACUUUCUAAUCCUCACACACAAUUUAGAGAAAACAAAGCAAAAGGUUUUUCCAUUCACUGUAAUUUUCCUAGCGAUUUAAUGCAGCACAUUCUUCAUACUGAAGAAAAUACUCAAACUAAUAAACAGUUAAACGCUGUUAUAGAUUUGUUAAUUAAUCUUGGUUAUAAGAUAGAGAAAAAACAAGGUCAAUUAAUAGAAAAAUUUGAGACACUAGAAAAAUCUUAUUCUGACAGAAUUUCUAAAUUAGAAAAACAAUUUAAUAGUUUAACUACCAAUCUAGAUUUAGAAUAUCUUUGUGAGAAGACCAAACAAUUUGAGAGAGAGAGAGAUCAGAGAGAAGCUUUAGAGAGAAGAAACCUUGAGACACAAAAUGCCUUUCUUGAGCAACAGCUGUCAGACCACAAAAAUAAGAUUCUUUUCUUAGAAGAACAAAAUAGACGACUGUCAGACAGUCAAACUCAGCUUCAAUUACAGAUUGCACAGACUCAGGCGAGGUUCAUUCCACUUCCCCUUCAAAGUGGUCAGAUGGGUGGUAA
Prunus avium (sweet cherry) is the source of this 1716-nucleotide non-coding RNA. Lineage: Eukaryota; Viridiplantae; Streptophyta; Magnoliopsida; Rosales; Rosaceae. The record is from RefSeq and is a predicted model, not a curated record.